GACGAACGCUGGCGGCGUGCCUAAUACAUGCAAGUUGAGCGAUGAAGAUUGGUGCUUGCACCAAUUUGAAGAGCAGCGAACGGGUGAGUAACGCGUGGGGAAUCUGCCUUUGAGCGGGGGACAACAUUUGGAAACGAAUGCUAAUACCGCAUAACAACUUUAAACAUAAGCUUUAAGUUUGAAAGAUGCAAUUGCAUCACUCAAGGAUGAUCCCGCGUUGUAUUAGCUAGUUGGUGAGGUAAAGGCUCACCAAGGCGAUGAUACAUAGCCGACCUGAGAGGGUGAUCGGCCACAUUGGGACUGAGACACGGCCCAAACGCCUACGGGAGGCAGCAGUAGGGAAUCUUCGGCAAUGGACGGAAGUCUGACCGAGCAACGCCGCGGGAGUGAAGAAGGUUUUCGGAUCGUAAAACUCUGUUGGUAGAGAAGAACGUUGGUGAGAGUGGAAAGCUCAUCAAGUGACGGUAACUACCCAGAAAGGGACGGCUAACUACGUG
This 497-nucleotide ribosomal RNA is filed under the name uncultured bacterium. RNAcentral describes it as "partial 16S ribosomal RNA". It matches the Rfam family "Bacterial small subunit ribosomal RNA", at positions 28 to 507 of the family's 1533-position model. The record is from RNAcentral.